Molecule: ribosomal RNA, 496 nt
Filed under: uncultured bacterium
Lineage: Bacteria
Description: partial 16S ribosomal RNA
Rfam family: Bacterial small subunit ribosomal RNA
Source: RNAcentral
GAUGAACGCUGGCGGCGUGCCUAAUACAUGCAAGUCGAGCGAACAGACGAGGAGCUUGCUCCUCUGACGUUAGCGGCGGACGGGUGAGUAACACGUGGAUAACCUACCUAUAAGACUGGGAUAACUUCGGGAAACCGGAGCUAAUACCGGAUAAUAUAUUGAACCGCAUGGUUCAAUAGUGAAAGACGGUUUUGCUGUCACUUACAGAUGGAUCCGCGCCGCAUUAGCUAGUUGGUAAGGUAACGGCUUACCAAGGCAACGAUGCGUAGCCGACCUGGGAGGUUGAUCGGCCACACUGGAACUGAGACACGGUCCAGACUCCUACGGGAGGCAGCAGUAGGGAAUCUUCCGCAGUGGGCGAAAGCCUGACGGGGCAACGCCGCGUGAGUGAUGAAGGUCUUCGGAUCGUAAAACUCUGUUAUUAGGGAAGAACAAAUGUGUAAGUAACUAGGCACGUCUGGACGGUACCUAAUCAGAAAGCCACGGCUAACUACGU